This 309-nucleotide unclassified non-coding RNA is filed under the name plant metagenome. Its description in RNAcentral is "partial contains 5.8S ribosomal RNA, internal transcribed spacer 2, and large subunit ribosomal RNA". The stretch from base 1 to 105 matches the Rfam family "5.8S ribosomal RNA", at positions 50 to 154 of the family's 154-position model. The record is from RNAcentral.
GAAAUGCGAUAAGUAGUGUGAAUUGCAGAAUUCAGUGAAUCAUCGAAUCUUUGAACGCACAUUGCGCCCCUUGGUAUUCCAUGGGGCAUGCCUGUUCGAGCGUCAUUUGUACCCUCAAGCUCUGCUUGGUGUUGGGUGUUUGUCCCGUCUCCGCGCGUGGACUCGCCCCAAAGUGAUUGGCAGCCGGCGUACUGGUCCCGGAGCGCAGCACAUGUCGCGCAAACGAGUGCCUUGGUACGGCGGCGUCCAUAAGCCCCUCUCUCACGCUCUUGACCUCGGAUCAGGUAGGGAUACCCGCUGAACCUAAGC